RNAcentral lists this ribosomal RNA (495 nucleotides) under uncultured bacterium. RNAcentral's name for it is "partial 16S ribosomal RNA". It matches the Rfam family "Bacterial small subunit ribosomal RNA", at positions 28 to 523 of the family's 1533-position model. The record is from RNAcentral.
GAUGAACGCUAGCGGGAGGCCUAACACAUGCAAGCCGAGCGGUAUUGUUUCUUCGGAAAUGAGAGAGCGGCGUACGGGUGCGUAACACGUGUGCAACCUGCCUUUAUCUGGGGGAUAGCCUUUCGAAAGGAAGAUUAAUACUCCAUAAUAUAUUGAACGGCAUCGUUUAAUAUUGAAAGCUCCGGCGGAUAGAGAUGGGCACGCGCAAGAUUAGCUAGUUGGUGAGGUAACGGCUCACCAAGGCGAUGAUCUUUAGGGGGCCUGAGAGGGUGAUCCCCCACACGGGUACGGAGACACGGACCAGGCUCCAACGGGAGGCAGCAGUGAGGAAUAUUGGUCAAUGGGUGCAAGCCUGAACCAGCCAUCCCGCGUGAAGGACGACUGCCCUAUGGGUUGUAAACUUCUUUUGUAUAGGGAUAAACCUACCCUCGUGAGGGUAGCGGAAGGUACUAUACGAAUAGGCACCGGCUAACUCCGUGCCAGCAGCCGCCGUAA